ACUCACACCUGGCAGGGAGAUACCAUGAUCAUGAGGUGGUUUACCCACGACAGGCUCAGCAAUGUUGCCACUUCAGUUGUGCUGACCGUGUGAAUUCCCAAAUGUGGGAAUCUCGACGGCAUAAUUUGGUAGUGGGGGACUGCGUCCGCGCUCUCCCUGA
Molecule: small nuclear RNA, 160 nt
Organism: Hippoglossus stenolepis (Pacific halibut)
Lineage: Eukaryota; Metazoa; Chordata; Actinopteri; Pleuronectiformes; Pleuronectidae
Product: U1 spliceosomal RNA
Exons: 1
Source: RefSeq, a predicted model, not a curated record